AUAGGGAAGUUGCUAAGACUCAGUGCCAGGCAUCUGCAAGGCAGCUAGGGCAGCAUAAGAUCAUUUCAGAAUGAAGAUGCUUUGGGAUCUGACUUCGGACUGUAAGAAUGACAAACUCUGAAUGGGUGCAAAGGUAGCAGAUGACCUUCAAAGGAUGGUGAGAUUAAAUUUACCUACACCUAGAGAAAUAAUUGGAGCACAUGUCUAUUUGGGCCAAGAGGAUAAAGGCCAGUAGAGGAAUCAGAUCAAAGAACUUCCUCAGGGAAGUGUGCAGAGAACUGGAGUGGACCUUCCCCUAGGAAGCUGCCCAAAACGAGAGUGCUGGAAAGCUGGCCGCAGUGAGGCACUUCAGAUCCCAAGGGUAUGCUGGGGAAGCUGCCACAGGUGGGAGCACUUGCUGCUGGACCCUAGGCACUGUUGAAACAACUGCACCAUCUGCAGGAGCCCAGCAAGAGGUGCCUUCAGCCAUGAUUAUAAGUUUCCUGAGGCCUCCCCAGCCAUAAGAAACUAAAGAACUUGUUUGCAUCCCUGCUAGACAAAAACCUACAAGUUAACCUUUGCCCGUAUGGAGUUGUAAAACAGACCAGUUGAUAGAAAGAGAAGCCUGCUUCCCGAAGCCCUCAGCAGAAGCCGAGCAGAUGUUGGCACCAUGCUUCUUGUACAGCCUGCAGAACUUGAAGAAACACUCCAUAUUAGUUUUCUGGAGCCAUCGUUAUGAAGCAACACAGACUGGGUGGCAUAAACAAUGGAGAUUUAUUUUUUCACAAUUCCGGAGGCUAGAAGUUUGAGAUCAAGGUGUUGGAAAGUGUCUCAGGAUGAUACAUACCGGUUUUUAACUUUGGUGUCAUCAAAUGCAAUUGCAAUGUGACUGUUUCUUGAAAGCCCGAACUGCUUGCUCCCUAUCAAAAGAGCUGGUUCUGAUUCUGCAGCACAAGGACCCUGUAAAAUACCCAGGAGAGAAAAACAGGAGAUUAUGGACUGUUCUUUAAAAAGUGCAAGGAGCACAUUGCUCAACCAAUUCCAUCGUGGACACUAAGGAAGAGAAUGAGAUAUUCAAGAGUUUUCAAGAUCUGCACUCAAGACAACAUUGCCCACCCAUUACUGGUAUGGAAUAUAACCACAACACAUGAGCUGUAAAGAGUGUAGUGACUGUGACCAUCUUUGUUGUAUUGGUGAUAAGAAUGUAAAUUGGCAUAGCCUGUGGAAGAAACAAUUCAGGUAUGUGUAUUGAAAACCUUAGACAUAUUCAUCUUUUGGCCUUAUAAUUUCCUAACUACUUAUCUAUUUUAAGAAUAACUGGAAAUAAUGAAAAAGCUUGAUGCAUAGAGGAGCUCAUCAGAGUAUAGUUUCUAAUAGUGAAAAACUGGAAACACUCUCAAUAGCCUACCAUGGUCUAUUAAAAGUAGAAUAAAUUGGAAAGGCAGAGUGUUCCAGAGAUAAGGAGUCAGACUUUGGAGUCUGACUCGCUAGAAUAAAAUUCUUACUCUGCCUUUUACUAGUGGUGUGAGUGGGUUGGUUGCUUAAGAUAGCUAAUUCUUAUUAACUCGACUAAAAGUAGAAAGACUAUAUUUUACAGAGCCGUUAUGAGAAUUACAUAUAAUAUUGAAUGAAAAUUGUUUAGCCCUGGGCUGGUGAAAGUACUCAUUAUUAUCAUUACUACAUAGUACUUAUGCCAUUUAUUAAACGUUCAGUAUAUGUGAGUCAUUGAACAAACAUUAUCUUUUAAAACUCUGAUACAAAGUCUUUGAUGUCUGUGCUGUUAAUAUCCUCAUUUGACAGAUGAGGAAACAGAAAUAGUCUAUGGCCAAAUCACCCUGAAAGCAUCCGAUCUUUUCUGAUCUCAAAAGCUAAGCAGGGUUGGGCCCGGUUAGUACUUGGAUGGGAAACUGAGAAAUAGAUUGGACAGGUAGCUUUCCCAAAUUCACACAGAUGGUCGGUUACAGUGCUGGGAUUUGAAUACCAGCAGUCUGACUUGAGCCCAUGCUCUAAUCAAGGCUAUAUGACCUCCAAUACUAUAAAAUAGUUGUGUGUCUCUGUGUGUAUAUAUACUUAACAUAAAAUCAUAUUAGACAUACACAUUUAUAUGAUGUUUAGAUACAGUUUUUAUUUAUUUAUUUAUUUUUAUUUUUUGGAGAUGGAGUCUCGCUCUGUUGCCCAGGCUGGAGUACAGUGGCGUGAUCUCGGCUCACUGCAACCUCCGCCUCCUGGGUUCAAGCGAUUCUCCUGCCUCAGCCUACUGAGUAGCUGGGACUACAGGUGCACACCGCCAUGCCAGGCUAUUUUUUUGUAUUUUAGAAGAGACGGGGUUUCACCGUGGUUGCCCAGGCUGGUCUCGAACUCCUGAGCUCAGGCAAUCUGCCUGCCUUGGCCUCCCAAAGUGCUAGGAUUACAGGCGUGAGCCACCGCGCCUGGCCUAGAAACAGUUUUAGUGGUGUAUUACUAGUUUCUAAAAACAGGACACCAAAUUGUAUACAAGGUAGGACAUCUACUAUGCAGAUAAAAGGGCCUGGAAACCAACAUGGUUGCCUCUGUCAUGGUAUUAUAAGUGUCUUUUAUUCAUGAUUCUGGAUAUUUCUGUGUUUUCCAACAUUUCAACUGAAAAUGUACUGUUUUGUAAACAAAAUUGAAGAUGGAAAUAUAGGUAAGUCAUUCAAUGAAGAUGUAAGAAUAGGUUUAGAUAGGUUAUAUUUCUUUCAAUUCUAAUAUCAGAGUGUACUAGAUAUCCUGAAUAAUCUUCCUUCUGAAAUGACUCAGAAUACUGGGUAAAAAUUAGAAAGCAAUGGGGAUAAUAUAAACACUUACAUGUGUCAGAACUGGGGUGGGCGUAGGAAAGGCUGGGGUGGGAACUGGCUCAGGCUGGAUAACUAUUUCAGCUGGAGCUGCUCCAUCUUCAUCUUCACGGAGUUUCUGAUGGGCACAGCGACCAAUGUCAGCAUUUUUGAAGGACACAGGCCUUGCAAAGUCCAUGGGGCUAAUAGAAUGUAAUAAAUAAGAUUUUUUUAUUUUCGUUUUUUUGCUUCCUUACAAUUAAGCCCAAUCCCCGCAUGCCUUUUUAAGUCCAUUAGUGUGCUUUUCUCAGUCUAAGUUGAAGAUCCUCAUUGUUUCCCUCCUCCCCUGCAUAGCUGUAGACAAUGUAGAUGCAUUGGGACCCCUAAUAGCAAGAAAUAAAAAUAAAAAAUUAGUAGUAGUAAUGAGGAGAUCCACUUACACAGAGUUAAUAACAAGAUUCCAUAUGCAGCCUUCAAAAGGAGGAAUAUUUCUGAGUGGGGAAGGUUGAAAUUCAGGUGGAGCACCCCCAACGAAAAGCUUUUUAACUUCGAUAGGCUGUUCAACUGUCAGGUUUUGCAUGUAUCUUCUGUUUUCAUCCACUUGAACUGUAAAGAUG
Homo sapiens (human) is the source of this 3385-nucleotide long non-coding RNA. NCBI's taxonomy places the organism in Eukaryota, Metazoa, Chordata, Mammalia, Primates, Hominidae. The record is from Ensembl.